RNAcentral lists this ribosomal RNA (155 nucleotides) under Musa acuminata AAA Group (dessert banana). RNAcentral describes it as "5.8S ribosomal RNA". It matches the Rfam family "5.8S ribosomal RNA". From Rfam's summary of the family: 5.8S ribosomal RNA (5.8S rRNA) is a component of the large subunit of the eukaryotic ribosome. The record is from RNAcentral. Lineage: Eukaryota; Viridiplantae; Streptophyta; Magnoliopsida; Zingiberales; Musaceae.
UCUCGGCAACGGAUAUCUCGGCUCUCGCAUCGAUGAAGAACGUAGCGAAAUGCGAUACCUGGUGUGAAUUGCAGAAUCCCGUGAACCGUCGAGUCUUUGAACGCAAGUUGCGCCCGAGGCCAUCCGGCUAAGGGCACGCCUGCCUGGGCGUCACG